UACGGAGGGUGCAAGCGUUGCUCGGAAUUAUUGGGCGUAAAGGGUAGGUAGGUUGUCUCGUUUGUCUGGGGUGAAAUCCUUGAGCUUAACUCAAGAACUGCCUUAGAAACGGCGAGACUAGAGUGCUGGAGAGGGUCGCGGAAUUCCCGGUGUAGCGGUGAAAUGCGUAGAGAUCGGGAGGAACACCUGAAGCGAAGGCGGCGGCCUGGACAGUUACUGACACUAAACUACGAAAGCGUGGGGAGCAAACAGG
This 253-nucleotide ribosomal RNA is filed under the name uncultured bacterium. Its description in RNAcentral is "partial 16S ribosomal RNA". It matches the Rfam family "Bacterial small subunit ribosomal RNA", at positions 524 to 776 of the family's 1533-position model. The record is from RNAcentral.